AUAUCAGUCAUGCAUAGCAUAUCAAUAAGCGGAGGAAAAGAAACUAACAAGGAUUCCCUUAGUAACGGCGAGUGAAGCGGGAAGAGCUCAAAUUUGAAAUCUUCAAGGUUUUACCUUGACGAAUUGUAGUUUAAAGAAGUGUUUUCUGUUGAAGUUUUGGUAAAAGUUCUUUGGAAUAGGACAUCAUAGAGGGUGAGAAUCCCGUAUUUGACCAUUACUUUCAGCUUUGUGAUACACUUUCAAAGAGUCGGAUUGUUUGGGAAUGCAGUCCAAAAUGGGUGGUAAAUUUCAUCUAAAGCUAAAUAUUGGCGAGAGACCGAUAGCGAACAAGUACCGUGAGGGAAAGAUGAAAAGAACUUUGAAAAGAGAGUUAAACAGUACGUGAAAUUGUCAAAAGGGAAGCGUUUGACACCAGUGUUGUUUUCUCGAAAAUCAAUUAAAAAGAGUUGGAUUUUGUGUUGUAUUGACUUUAUCAGCUUUCUUCACUCUUUUCCAGCUUUUUUUAAUGCACUUUUCGUUUAACAAGUCAACAUCAGUUUCUUUUGUUGUAAAAAGGUCAUUGGAAGGUGGCUUUCUCUUCGGAGAAAGUGUUUAUAGCCUUUGACUCAUGCAAUCGGAGAGACUGAGGUCUGCAGCGUAGAUCCUUCGGGGUUAGAUACAUUUGUGCUAAGUUAUAGCUCUUCAUAGACAACUUGUUGACUAUGUUUAGUCUUGUAGCUUACUCGCUUAUGCUAUUUUACCUACGCUUAGGAUGUUGAACUCUAUCACACACA
Molecule: ribosomal RNA, 773 nt
Filed under: uncultured Neocallimastigales
Lineage: Eukaryota; Fungi; Neocallimastigomycota; Neocallimastigomycetes; Neocallimastigales
Description: partial large subunit ribosomal RNA
Rfam family: Eukaryotic large subunit ribosomal RNA
Source: RNAcentral